Molecule: small RNA, 316 nt
Filed under: Octodon degus (degu)
Lineage: Eukaryota; Metazoa; Chordata; Mammalia; Rodentia; Octodontidae
Description: 7SK RNA (ENSODEG00000022670.1)
Rfam family: 7SK RNA (bases 1-224)
About the family: 7SK was discovered as an abundant small nuclear RNA in the mid-70s but a possible function has only recently been suggested. Two independent studies have found that 7SK RNA binds the CDK9/cyclin T complex (known as elongation factor P-TEFb). P-TEFb activates transcription by phosphorylating the C-terminal domain of RNA polymerase II.
Source: RNAcentral
GGAUGUGAGGGCGAUCUGGCUGCGAAAUGUGUCACCCCAUUGAUUGCCAGGGUUGAUUUGGCUGAUUUGGCUUGCCUAGGCAAGGCUCUCCUUCCUCCAUCAACAUUCCACGUGCCACCCUCCAACCCUCCGACCCUCCAACCCUCUGACCCUCCCUGUCUCUUGGAGAGAACUCCCACCCCCAGGAGAGGAGCACUGGAGCCUUAAAGCCUCUAGGGCAGAUUGAGUGUGUGGCACUGAGCCAGAACUGGGGUAUUGCUAAUGUUAGGCAAGCACUCUAGCUACCCUAACCUCUGGAGGAGAAUUUUUUUGCUUC